CCGCACAGUAGUGUUUGGUCUUGCAUUGUGAUGGCGUCUGAGUGUUGGCUUGGUCUCUGUUGGCUUGCUACAUAUCUAGAAAGCUCCAUGAUUUGUGCUAAGCUCAAAAUAUCAGUAGAUUUGUUGUGGUAGUGCCUUAACAGGAUUUGAGACUUCUCCAUUCAGGAAAAGACAAGUUUGGUAGAUACAAAAAUUACAAGAUCGCAAGUUUGGAUUGAAGGUCACAAGAAAAAAAAAUGG
Long non-coding RNA from Zingiber officinale, 240 nucleotides. RefSeq lists it as uncharacterized. Lineage: Eukaryota; Viridiplantae; Streptophyta; Magnoliopsida; Zingiberales; Zingiberaceae. The transcript is spliced from 3 exons. The record is from RefSeq and is a predicted model, not a curated record.